UAUCUAAGAUUUUUAUUUUUGUGUUACCCACAUUAGGAAUUCUAAACAUUUUUGAAUAUCAUAUCAAAAAUUGACCGCUCCAGCGGGGUUCGAACCCGCGUCUCCGACUUGCCGUGUCGGCGCUCUAGCCAAUUAAGCUAUGGAACGAUGCACCCGCUCGAGCGAAAUUUUCGAUAUGAUAAUUUUUAAUUUUCGGUUUAAGCGAACCGUGGCGCCGUCUAUAGUGAGCUCUUUACAGAAACCCGUAACUAUUCAAAGUUUCAUAUUACAAUGAAAAUCUUUGACAGGAGACGACACCGUGCUAUUUUUAAUAUCUAAGAUUUUUAUUUUUGUGUUACCCACAUUAGGAAUUCUAAACAUUUUUGAAUAUCAUAUCAAAAAUUGACCGCUCCAGCGGGGUUCGAACCCGCGUCUCCGACGUACCGUGUCGGCGCUCUAGCCAAUUAAGCUAUGGAACGAUACACCCGCUCGAGCGAAAUUUUCGAUAUGAUAAUUUUAAAUUACGGUUUAAGCGAACCGUGGCGCCGUCUAUAGUGAGCUCUUUACAGAAACCCGUAACUAUUCAAAGUUUCAUAUUACAAUGAAAAUCUUUGACAGGAGACGACACCGUGCUAUUUUUAAUAUCUAAGAAGAUUUUAUUUUUGUGUUACCCACAUUAGGAAUUCUAAACAUUUUUGAAUAUCAUAUCAAAAAUUGACCGCUCCAGCGGGGUUCGAACCCGCGUCUCCGACUUGCCGUGUCGGCGCUCUAGCCAAUUAAGCUAUGGAACGAUGCACCCGCUCGAGCGAAAUUUUUGAUAUGAUAAUUUUUAAUUUUCGGUUUAAGCGAACCGUGGCGCCGUCUAUAGUGAGCUCUUUACAGAAACCCGUAACUAUUCAAAUUUCAUAUUACAAUGAAAAUCUUUGACAGGAGACGACACCGUGCUAUUUUUAAUAUCUAAGAUUUUUAUUUUUGUGUUACCCACAUUAGGAAUUCUAAACAUUUUUGAAUAUCAUAUCAAAAAUUGACCGCUCUGUUUCUGUAAAGAGCUCACUAUAGACGGCGCCACGGUUCGCUUAAACCGAAAAUUAAAAAUUAUCAUAUCGAAAAUUUCGCUCGAGCGGGUGCAUCGUUCCAUAGCUUAAUUGGCUAGAGCGCCGACACGGCAAGUCGGAGACGCGGGUUCGAACCCCGCUGGAGCGGUCAAUUUUUGAUAUGAUAUUCAAAAAUGUUUAUAUUUC
RNAcentral lists this unclassified non-coding RNA (1220 nucleotides) under Melitaea cinxia (Glanville fritillary). Its description in RNAcentral is "misc RNA ENSMCXG00005018053.1". The stretch from base 1110 to 1182 matches the Rfam family "tRNA". Lineage: Eukaryota; Metazoa; Arthropoda; Insecta; Lepidoptera; Nymphalidae. The record is from RNAcentral.